RNAcentral lists this long non-coding RNA (619 nucleotides) under Ananas comosus (pineapple). RNAcentral describes it as "long non-coding RNA (ACOM_LNC015587)". The record is from RNAcentral. Lineage: Eukaryota; Viridiplantae; Streptophyta; Magnoliopsida; Poales; Bromeliaceae.
UUAUAAGAGUUGUUUUACUCGAGAAUUUUUUGAAUGUAUGUAAUUACAACUGCAGUAUAAUUAUAAUUAUAUACCGGUUCAGGUAUAAUAUUUAGUUUAAUAAAUUUAGAUCCAACUGUUGUAGGAUGCAGCAGUUAAAACUCUCUAAUCAUUUUUUAAAUAGAAAUUUUUUUUUAUAUUGAAGUCAAUUUCACAACCACAUACAUAAAAUGAUAAAAAAAAUUAAAAAAAUAUAAUUACUCAACUACACGUAACGAAAUAAAUUAUGAACUAGACUGUAAUACUAUUAAUAGCAUCAAGCUGUUGGUGCUAUUAAUUUUUUAGCCCUUGGAUUGAGAAAUACGCGGUUAGGAUGAUGCGGGCCCCUUAAGAUUAAGUGGGUGGUUGAUUGAAUAGUAUAAUUUAACGAGUAAAAAUAAUCAAAGGGUUAAAUCUAACGGUGGAAAACUCGAUAGUACCAAACCCUUUGUGCUAUUAAUAGUAUCCCAGCCAGACUCAUAAAUUAUUUAUACUUAUAGUAUUUUUCACUGCUUUCAAUCAAAUAAGAGAUAUACAUAGUUAUAUUUUUUAACUGCCUGCAGCUCUAACUAUAAUUAUAUUUUUAAUUAUAUCAAGCCAC